This 253-nucleotide ribosomal RNA is filed under the name uncultured bacterium. RNAcentral describes it as "partial 16S ribosomal RNA". It matches the Rfam family "Bacterial small subunit ribosomal RNA", at positions 524 to 776 of the family's 1533-position model. The record is from RNAcentral.
UACGGAGGGUGCAAGCGUUAAUCGGAAUUACUGGGCGUAAAGCGUACGUAGGUGGUUUGUUAAGCCAGCUGUGAAAUCCCCGGGCUCAACCUGGGCACUGCAGUUGGAACUGGCAAGCUAGAGUUGGGUAGAGGGGUGUGGAAUUCCAGGUGUAGCGGUGAAAUGCGUAGAUAUCUGGAGGAACAUCAGUGGCGAAGGCGACACCCUGGACUCAUACUGACACUGAGAGACGAAAGCUAGGGGAGCAAAUGGG